GAUGAACGCUGGCGGCGUGCCUAAUACAUGCAAGUCGAGCGAACGGACGAGAAGCUUGCUUCUCUGAUGUUAGCGGCGGACGGGUGAGUAACACGUGGAUAACCUACCUAUAAGACUGGGAUAACUUCGGGAAACCGGCGCUAAUACCGGAUAAUAUUUUGAACCGCAUGGUUCAAAAGUGAAAGACGGUCUUGCUGUCACUUAUAGAUGGAUCCGGGCUGCAUUAGCUAGUUGGUAAGGUAACGGCUUACCAAGGCAACGAUGCAUAGCCGACCUGUGAGAGUGAUCGGCCACCCUGGAGCUGAGCCACGGACAAUACUCCUACGGUAGGCAGCAGUAGGGAAUCGUCCGCAAUGGGCGAAAGCCUGACGGAGCAACGCCGCGUGAGUGAUGAAGGUCUUCGGAUCGUAAAACUCUGUUAUUAGGGAAGAACAUAUGUGUAAGUAACUGUGCACAGCUUGACGGUACCGAAUCAGAAAGCCACGGCUAACUACGUG
Molecule: ribosomal RNA, 497 nt
Filed under: uncultured bacterium
Lineage: Bacteria
Description: partial 16S ribosomal RNA
Rfam family: Bacterial small subunit ribosomal RNA
Source: RNAcentral